RNAcentral lists this unclassified non-coding RNA (560 nucleotides) under uncultured Bradyrhizobium sp. Its description in RNAcentral is "partial 16S-23S ribosomal RNA intergenic spacer". The stretch from base 443 to 560 matches the Rfam family "Bacterial large subunit ribosomal RNA", at positions 1 to 117 of the family's 2925-position model. The record is from RNAcentral. Lineage: Bacteria; Pseudomonadati; Pseudomonadota; Alphaproteobacteria; Hyphomicrobiales; Nitrobacteraceae.
CUGGGAGAGCGCGUGCUUUGCAAGCAUGAGGUCGUCGGUUCGAUCCCGUCUGGCUCCACCAGAUGGUUUGAUCACCGAGAUCUUGACCGUCGUCCGCGAAACAUCACUUCGCAUCCUGCUAGUCUGGAUAGACAGCAGUUUGCGUGUUUUCUGACAUCGUAAAGAGGAGAUCGAUCCGAGUUGGGUCGUGCAGCAUAUCGUUGCGCGAGCCUUCAUUAUCUCCGGAUCAUUUCGGCGCUCGCUUCCAGCCGUGAGGUUGGAUGCGGGUUGUAAAUGAUCCUUUUAGCGAAGCUUGACCGCCUCGCUAUCGGAACGAUCUUACGAAGCAAGCUGGUCUUUCUAGUCAAUGUCCGGCUGCGGAUAGCGUUCAUCGAGGGCGCGUGCCGCAAGGCAAUUCUGCAGACAACAUUCUGCCGAGUGUGUGGACAUUGAUAAUGAGAGCAAUCAAGUGCCUUAAGGGUGUUCGGUGGAUGCCUUGGCGCUGAGAGGCGAUGAAGGACGUGCUACGCUGCGAUAAGCCGUGGGGAGCUGCGAAGAAGCUUUGAUCCGCGGAUUUCCGA